RNAcentral lists this long non-coding RNA (1225 nucleotides) under Suricata suricatta (meerkat). RNAcentral's name for it is "lncRNA (ENSSSUG00005000339.1)". Lineage: Eukaryota; Metazoa; Chordata; Mammalia; Carnivora; Herpestidae. The record is from RNAcentral.
GUCCGCUCUGUGAGCCAGAAUUAGAACUAGUUUUCUGACUGGGGCUCCCCUGGAGGACUCCUGGUCUUGCUGCUGGACCCUGGGGUCCCUCCCGGGGAGGCAGCCUCCGCAUCCCGGUGUGAAGGGUGCGCGAGUUCCCUGCUGAGCAGGUGCAGAGAGCUGCUUCUGUGCAGAAGCAUCCAGAGCCCCAUGCUCCCAUUCGUGACCCCUUAAUCACACGGCACACAUCUCAGAUGAACGGACACAGGCACCCCACAAAGUGAUGCAAUGAAGCCUGUGACCACAGAGGUGACCUUCAUUCAGGGAGGCCCAGCCGGGUCCUGAGGGAUGUUCCGAGGAUGGCUUCCCGGGCCACUUUGGGUGGCCUAGGAGGACUCGCUCACUGGGGUCCUGAGCACCUGCUGGCGACGCAUCCCUGCCUGAUUUGAUGACGCUGUCACCCGUGGCUGUCUCACCCGUGCUGUGAGCCCCCAGCCUCCGAGCCGCCAGGAGCCUCACAGAGGAGCGAGUGGGACCGACCAGAGGGAGACUGAGGAGCGUGGUCGUGGGAGGCGGGACAAGACAGGGCCUGGACUCACUGGAAAGGGGGCCUGGCUCUCCCGGAACACAGAGCCCCAGACUGCGGAGGCCCUGAGUGCCCAGUGCACCCCGGCCCUGAGGCCACGGGCUGAGCGCGGCCGGAGCUGCAGGUGCAGACCCCCAGGCGCCGCCCUCAAGGCAGUGCCCGGCGAGGGCAGCCACGCGCCUGUGCCCCUGCAGAUACGAGAAGGGAGCCCAGGGCCCGUGUGGUGAGCAGGGAGGAGACAGCGCGCCAACCAAGCUCGUUUGAAGCACCGCGCGGUCUGGCCGGCAGCCCAGGAGCGUCCUCAGGGCGAACCGCCCGACUGCCGGACCGGAAGUGGCUCUUCCAUUGACCCCGCAUCCUCGCAGGCCAAAGAGGAUACCUUUUAUGCUAAACCAACAGGCUGGACUGAAUUUGCUGAACGUGUCUGUGCCCUGUUGUUGCAAACGCCCCCGAGCAGGGGAGGUCCGUGGGUGACUGCCACGCCCUCGUGGAACCAGAGGAGGGGCCGGAAGUUGACAGAAAUGCUUAUGGUGCCACCAAGACACGGACGGGCCGACAGCGUAACAGUCACCAGCACAGCUGCGCUGCGCACGCGGCACGCAGAGCCGCCGGGUGUUUUCGUUUGUCUAGACUAGAAAUUCAGGUGGACCGCAGCUCCCG